CCACUGCAAGAGGGGAAGUUGCUACUGUGAUGAAUUCUGCCAUGUGGUACCAGACUGCUACCCAGACCACAGUGUCCUCUGCAACCCUCGUCAAAGCUUCUCAGAUGACCAAGAUGGUGCUGCAGAUGGUGCUGAGGAUGGAGAACCCACCAAGCCCCGCUAGGAGCCACCUAGACUGGAUGUAGAGCAUGGAUUCUGGAUGUAUACAGAUGUUCUUCAUCUUAGGAAGGGUUUACGUCCCAAUAAACACGUGGCUAAAACCUUUGAAGAGGAAUUUAUUAUAUCCUACAAACCUGGGAGGCAGAGGUUGCAGUGAGCCAAGAUUGGGCCAUCGCACUCCAGCCUGGGCAAUAAGAAUGAAACUCUGUCUCAAAAAAACAAAAGUUGGCUAGGGCUGGGCGUGGUGGCUCACACCUGUAAUCCCAGCAC
RNAcentral lists this long non-coding RNA (429 nucleotides) under Pan troglodytes (chimpanzee). RNAcentral describes it as "lincRNA". Lineage: Eukaryota; Metazoa; Chordata; Mammalia; Primates; Hominidae. The record is from RNAcentral.